UCGUAUCUCAACGCAAGUUGGAUGUUGAAGGCGUGCUGGUGACGAGCCAGCUCCUUUUAAACGCAUUGCAGAGCUUUGCGCUGUGCUGGCUUUGGUUUGAUAAUCAUUAUCUGUGCCUUUGCUGGACGGCUUCCUCUGAUCGUCAUUUUAUGACUGUCCCUCGUGGGCAUCGAUCGA
RNAcentral lists this unclassified non-coding RNA (177 nucleotides) under uncultured Clavaria. RNAcentral describes it as "sequence contains ITS2". The record is from RNAcentral. Lineage: Eukaryota; Fungi; Basidiomycota; Agaricomycetes; Agaricales; Clavariaceae.